GAAUUAGAAUCCACUGAGAUUAGCUGUCAGUCAUUGAGAGGCUGAGCUGCAGAGGAUAAAAAUCCAGCCCAGAGAUGCAGAAAUGCAGCCCUUGAAAGGCAGAGGCACAAAGGACUGAGAGCCAAGCUCACUAGGCAUAGAGAAAGGCAGCAGCCACAGUGACCUGAAGCUGAGUCAGAGAUCUUUCCAAAUAGGAGCUCAAGUGCUGAGGAUCCCAUCCAGAAUACCACAUUACAUUUAGUCAUCAAGUUAUCCUUAGGCUGCUAUAAGCUGUGAUAGAUUCUCAGACUUUCCUUGUUUUUGAUGAUACAUUUUGAAAGUUUGUGGACUACUGGUCAGAUAUUUUGAAGAAUGUCCCUCUAUUAGGAUGUCUGAUGUCUUUCUCAUAGUCAGACUGGAGUUGUGCUCUCUUGGGAGAAAGAUUACAGAGGUGCUGCUGCGAUCAGGAUGUUGGAGUUUGUGAGUACCUCCGCUGCUGCUACCAAGCUCUGAGCCAAGGCCAGGGUUCCCAGGAUCACAGGGCUCUGCCUCUGCUGCUGCUCUGCUUCUUGUGACCACAGGUGCUGCUGCUGGUGCCACUGCCGCUGUGGAUAAAUGAGUUGUCCUCAUUGAUGUUCCUGCCUAUCGUAGAGAAUUGAAAGCCCAGCUGAGAUCAAUUACAAGCAAUAUUACUACCUUGGCAGGAGAUGUCAAGACUCACAUUCCUGGUCAGAUGCUGGAUAUGUGUAUGCUGAACGACAGUCAAAGAAACAGGACAUUUCCAAUCAUCUUUAGAAAUGGGAGAAAGUCAUGAAGUUCUAAAAGCUUUGUUUCCAUGAAACCUACGAACAGUGCAGAUAAAGUAUAUUUUGUGUGCAUAUGCAUAUAUAUGUACGCGUGUGUGUAUAAUCUCCCUGAAUUUCUGAAUAAUGCUAUCCUCAAGCUCCAAGAGAAUAGAAGAGAUCCAUGCAUUCUGAGCCCAAUAUAGUAUAAUUCCAUUUACCCAGAAUCCAAAACACCAAAAUAAUGAAAUAACCAGAAUUUCGUUUACAAGUGUAUAGAACAAUUGUUGCUGUUCAUAACAAUAACCUGUUAGGUAUUCAGAUACAUUCUAAAAUAAAACAAACAGGCAUUCCCAUUUUAGUUUCAGAAAAGUAUAUUUUAUGAUAUUAAAAUUCUUAUGUUUAUAUAUUUACUAUUCAUUAAUGGUAUAUAACAGUUAAACACAAGAGUUAACCAUCUGGAAUACUCUGUGACUCAUUAUUUUCUAUCAACUCCAUUUUUUGAUUCCAAAAGGAAUACAUUUACUUGAUUUCUUUGAGAUUGGUUUGUGUGAUAAGCCUCCAGAAAAAAAGUGAAUCUUUGGAUUUGGUGAAUUAGGAUUCUCUAGUGAAUGAACACAAAUAACAAGGGUAAUUUAGGCAAAAUCAGUGUUUUCUUUUAUGUUUAUAUAAAUAUAUCAUAGAUUGCAAAGUCAAAUUUCUCACCAAAAAUAAGGCGUCUGUACUUGAGACAUUAAUGCCUGAGCCUGAAUAGUAACCUUGAAUCAGCAUGGCAACCUAUUGGGAGUUUCAGUUAAGCCUGGCUAAUCUAAAAGUGUAAAUGACUUGGGUCCUUAUUCUCAAUUAGGAAGUAGGAACAUGUGACUCUUUCCAAAGAGGUUUUUGAGUUAUUUCCUAAUGGGAUUUUCUUGUGGAGGAGUUAUACUGCAUGGUCAUAGCCCAGCUUCAAGACACGUCAGUUGUGUGAUUAUGAUGUGGAGGAAUGCAUGGUGAUCUCAAGCUCCUUGGGAAAGGAUAUAAGUAGGAGUGUGUACAAAUUGUCCUUCCCUAGGCUCACCUUGCAUAAACGCAAUGAUGAAACAAAAAUAAUAACAUGAAAAUAUUUCCUCUAGAGUCACCUUUUGGUUGCUGCUUCAGGGAUAUUGGUAUUACCCUCAUCAUAGAAGAUGCUCCUCACUUUCUUUCAAAUUUUAAUAGACAUCAUGCUCCUUGUCCAACCAAAGUCUUCUCUUCCAUAGGGUAAAUGGCCAUAGUUCCUUUGACAAUUCCUUGGUUUCUUUAUUUUUAAGCAUCCGUUUGGACUUCCUCUGGAUCUUUUUCCAUAAAACUGAUGUUCAGAGUUGGACACAAUCCUAAUACGUAAUUUGACCAAAGUAUUGUACGCAGCAUUACUUGAUCUCUACGGUAUAUUUUUCCCCCAAAGAAGCUUAGGAUAUUUUAUUAGUUAUCUGUCCUCUAUUGGUCUGUGGCUGGCUCAGAGAGGAAACCUUAAAGAGACUGUUUUAAUUCCAAUAUUAUAGUAUCUUCUUCAGUCUCCCUAAAAGUUCACUCUGUCCCAUCAGCUAACAAAAGAUUGAGGAAAGAUGAUCCACAGGCUUGUCUCUUCCUUUAACAUUCCAUGAUUUAUAGCAACAUCACAGACAAUACUUCUGGGAGUUAAAAAUUACUGAAAAUAUACCUGUUUUCAAACUGGGUCCUUAUCUAGCUGAACUGAAAAAUAGCUUAAAUCUUCUUAAGCAAAUAAUUGCAAAAAUAGAAGACAGAAAAAGGGACCGAUGGUAUGUAGAUGUCUGGGCAAUCAACUGUAUUCCACCUUGGGGUGAAAUAGGUAGCUCUCUGGUUCUCAAACCUGUGUACAUAUUAGAACCAUCUGAGGAGCUGUUAAAAAUAAUGACUGUAAUAUUUUUUUAAAUGUUAACAGUUUUAUUGAGGUAUAAUUGAUGUAAAUAAAUUGCACAUAUUUAAAAUAUAUAGUUUGACAGUCUUAACAUAUAUUUAUAAUGGUGAAACCACCACCAAAAUUAACAUCAUGAGUAUAUCCACCUAGCCAAAAAAUUUCCCUAGUACCCCUUUGUAAUCCUCACCCUUAAACCUUCACAGGCAACCAUUGACCCACUUUCUGCCAUUACAGAAUAUUUUGCAUUUUCUAGAGUUUUAAAUAAAUGAAAUAAUGCGGUAUUUAUGCUUUUUAUGUCUUCUUUCCCUAAGCAUAAUUAUUUUGAGAUUCCUCUAUGUUGUAACCUACGUUUACAGUUUGUUAAUUUUUAUUGCUGAGUAGUAUUCCAUUGUAUGCAUUUCAAAGUUUGUUUAUCCACUCACUGCACAUUUGUUUCCAGGUUUUGGAUUACAAAUAAAGCUAUAUGAAUAUUUGUGUACAAGUCUCUGUAUGAACAUAUACUUUCGUUACUCUUUGAUAAAAACUUAGGAGUGAAAUGGCUGAACCAUAUGGAAGGAAUAUGUUUAACUUUUUAAGAUAUGUAAAGCUUCUUGUUUCUGCACCAUUUCCUGAAAAGACUAUCCUUUCUCCAAUGAAUUGACAAAGCAUGUUUGUCAAAAUUAAGUUGUCUGUAUAUGUGUGAGUUUAUAUCUGAACUCUAUUCUGUUUUAUGUCAAUCAGAUAUUGUCUUAAUUACAGUAGCCUUGUAAGACUUGAAAUAAAAU
This is a long non-coding RNA of Equus caballus (horse), 3422 nucleotides long. NCBI's taxonomy places the organism in Eukaryota, Metazoa, Chordata, Mammalia, Perissodactyla, Equidae. The record is from Ensembl.